ACGACCACAUCGCAUUAAAACACCCGUUCCCAUAUGGUCAGCGAAAAUAAUCAUCGUCGAGCCUGAUCAGUACCUCGAUAGGUGACCACUGGGGAAUACCAGGUGUUGCAAG
Acanthosepion pharaonis is the source of this 112-nucleotide non-coding RNA. The record is from the annotation of a GenBank genome assembly. NCBI's taxonomy places the organism in Eukaryota, Metazoa, Mollusca, Cephalopoda, Sepiida, Sepiidae.